ACAGAGGUGGCAAGCGUUGUUCGGAAUUGCUGGGCGUAAAGGGCGCGUAGGCGGCCUUGUAAGUCUCGUGUGAAAGCCCUCGGCUUAACUGAGGAUCUGCACGGGAUACUGCGAGGCUUGAGUUCGGGAGAGGAAAGCGGAAUUCCGGGUGUAGCGGUGAAAUGCGUAGAUAUCCGGAGGAACACUAGUGGCGAAGGCGGCUUUUUGGACCGACACUGACGCUGAGUGCGCGAAAGCUAGGGGAGCAAACGGGA
Molecule: ribosomal RNA, 254 nt
Filed under: uncultured prokaryote
Description: partial 16S ribosomal RNA
Rfam family: Bacterial small subunit ribosomal RNA
Source: RNAcentral